Molecule: long non-coding RNA, 750 nt
Organism: Capsicum annuum
Lineage: Eukaryota; Viridiplantae; Streptophyta; Magnoliopsida; Solanales; Solanaceae
Exons: 3
Source: RefSeq, a predicted model, not a curated record
AACUAAUAACAAAAGUAACAAUACUUUACCUUUUUUAUUGAGAAGCACGUGACUUUAAUUCAUUACCCUCUUUUCACGCCACUUUACAUUUACAUUAUCCUAUUAUCACGUCAAUUUAUCAAUUUCAAUUCCCCACAACAUUAAUUUUGUGUAGAUUCUUUAAGGCAAGAGAUCUCAAUGUUGAGAAAACUAUUCCAAUGUGGGAAGACAUGCUUAAGUGGAGGAAAGAGUUUGGAGCAGACACAAUAUUGUAAUGUGUUUCGAUUGCAAUGCUAAGAAUCCAACUUGGACAUCGAUGACGUGUGGGAUCUUCUUGUGUAUUGAUUGCUCCGCUGUUCAUCGCAGCCUUGGCGUUCAUAUCAGUUUUGUUAGCCAAGGGAUGCCGUUUCCGGCGAUGGAUGGGAUGGUGGUUUCAAUUGAAUCCGUCAAAUUUGGCGUUUUUCGAUGAAUUUUCGAUGGAGGGAGGGUCUAUCCGGCAGAUUUCACCGUGAUAGUGACUGACAGCGAAAAUAAUGAUGUUUUACCGGCGAGUAUUAGCCGGAAUCGAUCACAAAAUUGAAUUUUAGUCGGUGAUUUGUUGAUUUUGUAGAUCCGGUGAGAAACGGGCUUAGCCAUCAUUUUUAUAAAUUUUCGAUGAUGUGGUAGCGACGGAUUGAUAUAUUUCGACGAAAUUGCUAUAAAAUAUAAUUUUUAUAGUAUAUAUAUGUAUUUGUAUUUAGUAAUGAUAAGAUUUGUAUUUGUUACAGUGUA